RNAcentral lists this unclassified non-coding RNA (301 nucleotides) under Hevea brasiliensis (rubber tree). Lineage: Eukaryota; Viridiplantae; Streptophyta; Magnoliopsida; Malpighiales; Euphorbiaceae. The record is from RNAcentral.
UAUGGAACCUGUUGGACGAGAACUGAAGUCAGUUGGGAAGUUCAUGGACUCUGCUGUCGAUCUUAUGAACAAAUCUUUCAUUGAUCGUUAGUACUUUCCAUUGGAGUGGCUGCAGUUCACCAGUUGUUAUAUCAACUACUUUGAGGCUUGUCAAAAACUAAUGAAGCUGGUUAUAGAGAUCAUCAGUUCAGUUAAUCCUACUACAAAUGUUAUCUAUUUAAGGAGGUCCUAUUUGUAUUUUCAAGACUUGAAAUCUACUGUACAUUCGAUAGCUACAUGGAAUUGUGGCUUUUUGAAAAAG